Molecule: ribosomal RNA, 172 nt
Filed under: uncultured bacterium
Lineage: Bacteria
Description: partial 16S ribosomal RNA
Rfam family: Bacterial small subunit ribosomal RNA
Source: RNAcentral
ACUCCUACGGGAGGCAGCAGUGAGGAAUCUUGCGCAAUGGGCGAAAGCCUGAUCCAGCCAUGCCGCGUGAGUGAAGAAGGUCUUCGGAUUGUAAAGCUCUUUUACCAGGGACGAUAAUGACGGUACCUGGAGAAUAAGCCCCGGCAAACUUCGUGCCAGCAGCCGCGGUAAU